Molecule: non-coding RNA, 394 nt
Filed under: Pongo abelii (Sumatran orangutan)
Lineage: Eukaryota; Metazoa; Chordata; Mammalia; Primates; Hominidae
Source: RNAcentral
UGCAUCUGAUGGUGCUGUUAUGAAGAUGAACUGUUAACUAAAUUGCUUUGGUGGAAUAUGUAUGCUAGGGAAGAGAGCGUGCUGGCCCUUCUCAAAGUGUCCCAUGAAAAAGUUAUUCCACACCUCCUCCCUGAACUUGCUGGGCAGACGCUUCCAGGAUGAACUCCAACUCGCCGAGCCACCGCAGCUUCUCAGCUGACUAAAAGAGUUAAUGAUCCUCCAGGUUAAAACUCCUCCUUGAGCACACACCUUCUCUCAACAAAUGACAGUACUUGGCAAACUGAACUCCUCCCACGAGUCGCCCUCUGCUAGGAGGAAUUUCUGGCUGCUCCCUGCUUAUUGCAUUCUCUCAGAGCAGCUGUCUCAAAGGAGGCUGCUCCCAUGCCGAUCUUUU